This 251-nucleotide ribosomal RNA is filed under the name uncultured prokaryote. RNAcentral describes it as "partial 16S ribosomal RNA". It matches the Rfam family "Bacterial small subunit ribosomal RNA", at positions 525 to 775 of the family's 1533-position model. The record is from RNAcentral.
ACGAAGGGGGCUAGCGUUGCUCGGAAUCACUGGGCGUAAAGGGCGCGUAGGCGGUCUUUUAAGUCGGGGGUGAAAGCCUGUGGCUCAACCACAGAAUUGCCUUCGAUACUGGGAGACUUGAGUUCGGAAGAGGUUGGUGGAACUGCGAGUGUAGAGGUGAAAUUCGUAGAUAUUCGCAAGAACACCGGUGGCGAAGGCGGCCAACUGGUCCGACACUGACGCUGAGGCGCGAAAGCGUGGGGAGCAAACAG